UCAUUUCUUUCCGUUUUAAAUUUCUUACUUGUAUCUCCAACACAAGGAAAUUGGAACUAUAGAGGAUUAUAUGUAGCGAUUGUUGGUGAUUAUAUAUAUCUACUUGUUUGUUUUCCCUGCACCUUCUAAAUACUUGCAUCAUAUGCUUUCAUGUCGUGAUGUACUUUUUUAUAUAUCUCCGAUUCUCCAUGCAGUAAUUAACCACUACGGUCUUUUUACACCAACAAAUUAUAUGAUAACAUAUAGAAACAGUUCAUUGCUUCCGUAAUAUCUGCCUUGGUACAUGUUCUCUUGUAUCACUACAAAACCUUUCACGUCCAACAAUGUGAAAGCAAAUUCUCUGUAAUAGAAAUGGACAUCUGCUAGCGACAUUUCAGAUAAUAAUAAAGUGUACUUAUGCACCAUCUGGUUGGAAGGAAUGAACGGGAAAAACAUGAACAAAAUCAAAGGUAAACGAGAAGUAUACAAGAGUGAAGAGUGAUGAAGAACUAGAAAGUGCAGACUUUAUUAUGAGUUUCACAAUAUAAUGAGUAAAAUAUAGGAAUGAUCAUUUAUCCCUAUAUUGGUAAGAUUGAGAUAUUAGUUUUUUUUUGUGUGCCAAACUAGUACAAAUUUCAUUUCAUUCUCCCUAAACGUAAUUCUUCCAACAAAAUGGGGCAUUACAUAAAGGUAUAAAGAUGAGGAGAUUAAAGAUUGACAGCUGCGAUAAGGGAAGGUAUGGAAAACAUGUGUAACUAUAUAAAUGUCGAACACCAAUAAGAUCCAAAUAACUCAGAUAACAUCCAAACUCAGUAACAAAUUGGUUAACAGAUAAAAUUCAGAAGCGAAUGCAAAAUAGUUUAUAAAAUUAGAUUCUAAGAUUCAAAAUUUCUAGUAUUCAGAUUAUAUGCAGAUGAAAGAGGAAGGGAGAUUUAUUGAAUAAUUUAGGCUUGACAAAACACAAUAAAAUGAUACACAUAGACUAGUAUACUCUAAUACUUAAUGAGCAGCAUAUAUUCUUAUUCUUAACUACCGUCUAUUCUAUUAUAUCAAAGAAACAUAAAUUAUUGCAAAGCUGUAAAUUCACAUUAAGAAGCUUAAACAAAUUACACAACUAGAAAUCAACCACUCAAAUUGGAUAUAAUUGGAUAAAUAUCUAAAGAGAUCAUAACUAAGAACCCUAAUUUCAAAGUUAUAAAUGUAUGUAUAUAAAUGAUUCAAAAAUCAGAACUCUGUAACACAAAAAAGCUAGCUGAACUGAGAUGAAGUAGAAAGCAGCAACAAAACAUUUAUGAAUUAAAUAUCUAAAGCUGAUCUAAUUACAAACAUCAACUCACAGUUAUCAAGAGGGGUGUAUUGGAUUGGGAUUUUAAAUCAUUUUUUUGCAUUCAUGAAAUCCGAGGGUAUUCGAUUGAGAUUAUUUGAAAUGCAUUAAAAUCUUGGGGUAUUCAAUUGGGAUUUUGAAUUAUGCUACAAAAUCUGGUGGUAUUCAAUUGGGAUUUUAAAUUAUGCUUUAAAAUCCGGUGGUAUUCAAUUCGGAUUGUUUAAAAUCCAUUAAAAUCUGAUGGUAUUCAAAUGUUGUCGGAUUUUUUUUCAUUUCAUAAAAUGGUGGAUUUUGUGGCAUUGUUCGAUGUAUUUUAAGUUUUAUGAAAUCCCACCAAAAUCAAUGGGAUUUUGAAGCAUUGUGCUUAAAUCCUAUCAACUCUGCGACAUUUCAUCAAGAAUCCGCACAAAAUCAAAAUCACAUGCAAUCCAUUAAAAUCCAUAGACUAAAAACAAUCCAUUAAAAUCUCAAUCGAAUACACCCCCGCAAUUUAUUAAUCAGAUGAGAGGAAGGAAGGGAGAGGGUCAGAGGGAGAGGGAGAGGGAGAGAGAGAGAGAGAGAGGAGUUACAGUGCUACGGCGACGUUCAGCGGCGAUGGAGAAGCCAAAAGCGACCAAGCAUAGUAUUAUUACAAGAAGAUGAACGAGAGAUGAGCCUUUCCCUGCCCCCAUUAUUGUUUCUAAGGGCAUCUUUGAUCACAAUUUCAAGCUUCAUAUUUUUUUCACUUUUAAUUUUAUAGAUAGAUUAAUCAAUCUCCAAUCAUCCAUUUAUCUUCCUAUGUAAAGUCAUUUACUAGAUAAAUUAUAUUAUUUUAUAAAAAAAAAUUAAAUAACGAAAUAUAUGAUCUUUCUCGGAUGAAGAUAACUUGCAAAUUUAAUGGUAUAGUUUAGAAAUUGGGGUUGAGAAGUACCAGUAGUUAUGCUAUAUUUACCUGAUGAUCUCGUAUCGUAACUUUUUUUACACGUGGGAUUUUUUUGCUUACAGCUCAUACUCUAUAACACACUUCCGCCAUUUCACAUGUGACUUCAUCUUUUGACCAGGGUUCUGUAAAUAGAAUUUUGAGCAAGAUCCCCUUAAUACAUAACUGAAUAAACAACACUCGUAGAGAUGAAUUCUGCUGGCGGAACUAGGGAAGAAACCCUAGCUUAGUCAAAGUUUUUUUUUUCUUCCAGAUAUUUGUUUUUUUUCAGAUAUUUUUUUAUUUGAGCUCUUAAAAAUAACAGUGAACCAAUAAAAAGUAUUUAUUGUGCAAAUUUUAAUUCUAGAUUAUUUUGAUUCAUGUCAUAUUGUCAUUGACUAACAGGCCAAAGUCAUUUUGUUAAUGGGCUCUAUUUUCUUGACCAAAAUCAUACUGUUUCCCCUACUAUUAUCCUGAGCCCAUGUUUUCAAAUUUCAAUUACGCCCAACCACCAGUCCAGAGUAGUUGUUGUUGGGCCACAAGGUAACCAUCCAAUGUCUAAACUAAUCAUAGUCCAAAUAAAAUUUUUUCAUAAAAACUGCGUGUACGUGAAUCCAGGGCAGAGGACUGAACAUGACUCCACUUGAGUUGAGCAAGAAAACCGCAAUCAUAUAUCUUUGAUUUUUAAAAUUGAAAACCGCAACCGUCAAUCGGGGUCGGUUUCGGUUUCGGUUUAAGAAACUUCGAUUCGGUUAAUAGUCGGCUCGGUUUCGAUUACAAAAUCGACAAAUAUAAGAAUGAAAAAUAGUACACAAACGAGACAAAUUAAUGCACGUAAUCUAGACAUAAUAAUUAAUAUAAUAUUAAAAUUUAACAAAAGUAACCGUAUUUUAUUUAAAACACUCUUGCCAGUAAUAUAAAACUAGUCUUAGUCAGAAUUUUCAUACAGAAUACGAAUCAGAACUUCCGGCUGAUUGGCUUUUUUAACACAUGCUUCAUGAAGAUUGAGAAAAUGUGACAGGGAAAAUAGGAAAUACAGAUUGGCAGUGGCCAGUCAGCAUGAGAUAUUCACUGAACAUCAAAUAUUAACAUAGACGGAUGUUUCUGUAAGUGUUAGAAUAGAUUUAUUAUAUUUAUUACAUAUUACAUAUAUUAUUUAUUAUUAUUUUAAUAACCGGUUCCGUUUGGUUUUUAUUGGUUCGGUUGGGAGGUAUAACCGGAACCAAACCGUUUAAAUCAGAUCAAUUUUUAAUUUUUCGGUUUCUAAUUGGUUUUUUUGAGUUUUUCCAAAUUUCGAUUCGUUUUGAUUUUAAAUCGGUUUUUUGCUAAGUCCUAAAUUAAGGUAUGGGUUCAAUUAUAGACAAGGUUAAGCUUACUUUUUAAAAAGUCUAACAUCACAAGUAAAUGGUUCACAAGUAAAUGGUCUUAAAACUAUAAAGAAACCAGGAUUGAAGCUCAAAAAUUAUCACCACUACACCCUUUUUUCGUGGUGCAACAAAUUUGGCCUAAAUCAAACGCAAAUCAAACGCAUUUAUACAAGACAAAUGACAGUCUUAAUAUAGGAUUACCCCAUUUUGGUUCAACCAUGAACACUGUUUGAACUAUGCGAUAGUUUCUUUACUAAAAUAUACUUCAGACUCUGGAACUGGAAGGACUAUGGGCCACUUAAAUGCAGCAUAUAUCUUGCAAUUUGAGCUCGAUAAUGGCAAAUUCCAAAUGCAAUCUAUCCACACAUUACACUCAAGUGCGAAAGAAUGAUCCAUGUAUUUUAAGGGUUUUGGUUCCUGGCAUGUGUACAUCAGGGAGUACUUAUAUAACAUACUGAUUUUGGAUCGUUGGAUGAUAUAUGCAUCUAACGGACAUAAUUAUAAAAAAAAUUCGUCAUGCUCAAUUUUUUUUUAUUUGUUUUUUUGCAUAUGAUAUGUAACUUGAAUAAUAAGAGGAAGGGGGAAAGUGAUGCAACUGCAAUUGAAGAAGUCAGUAGUCACUUAUUUAAAUUUCAAAGUACAAAGCCCAAAUAAGCAAUUUCCAAAGAGCUAAGCAAUGAAGGGCCAAGAAAUGGCUAGCUACUGCUAAAGAAAGCAAGUCCUCAUUCCUUGAUCAGAAGAGAUAAGGCAACCGCUCUCAUGCCACGUGUCAACUCAAUAAGAGUGUUUAAUGAUAAGGCAACCAAUCCAAAUUGCUCACACUGUGUGGCUACCAUGUUGCCUUGUCAACUUCACUGUAAUUCAAUGGUCAGAAAAAUUCUGAACUUUAGGAGGUGAAUUGGGAACCAUUGGAUCAGCAGGUUAAACGAUAAUGAGAUGAAAUGCCUAUAUAUUGGAUAGGUGAAGGAACAGAAGCAAGCCUCUCAAACACAAGAGAAGAAAGUAAAAGAACAAGAAGAGAGUAUUAGUACUCAUGGCUUCUUCAAUGAUAUCAUCAGUAGCACCGGUUACCCGUGCAUCCCCUGCUCAGGCUAACAUGGUCGCGCCUUUCACCGGCCUCAAGUCCAUCGCAUCAUUCCCCGUCACCCGAAAGCUUGAGAAUGACAUUACCUCUAUUACCAGCAACGGAGGAAGAGUUCAAUGCAUGAAGGUAUAUAUCUAUACUACUUAAUACUCAGAUAUAUUAUGUGCUAAUGAGGAACCAGUAUAACAUGGCAGAACAUUUCUUAGUUAGUUAUUGCUCAUUUGCUCUCAAAGUAGCACAAUUCUAAGUCAGAUAAAGCAGUCCUAGGUAACUUUAGAGUGAGUAACUUCAGAAUUUUCCUUGAAUAUGUCAAUAAUAUACAAAAAUUAUGUCAACACCUCGAUUAAAAGAUUGUUUUGCUUGUAUUUUCCUCCUGAGCUGAUCUGAGAAAUUUUGUUCUCAAGUCAAACAAUUAGAGACUUUAGCUCAAGAGAAAUGUCACCCCCUGGCAUUGUAGCCUGCGGGAUGUCCUCUAUAUUUUACCAUAGUAACCAUGUCGCCCCUCAAGUGAAGUAGAAUUUAAUUCAAUAAUGAAAUUGAACUACCCAGUAGAGGAAAUUUCUAGUUUUUUUGUAUAAUUUCCACCUUAGCUUGCUCUUAGUAACCCCCCUCAGUCUCAUUAAAUAGUCGGAAAUGUAUAUUCUUAUGAAGACAUGAUCACGUUCUUCAAAUUUUGCAAUCCAACACUGUUUCUAGACAAAUAUACAAUCUGUCGGUUUGUAAUUGAGUAAAUAUGACAUUCACAAAAUAUAUCAAGGAGAACACACCUUGGUUCUGAAAGUGAAUGAUAAAUUAGUUAGGUAACAUAUGUGAAUGGUGCAAGUGCAGGUAUGGCCACCAAUUAACAUGAAGAAGUUCGAGACACUCUCAUACCUUCCUCCUCUCACCACCGAACAAUUGGCAAAGGAGGUCGACUACCUUCUCCGUUCCGGAUGGGUUCCUUGUCUGGAAUUCGAGUUGGAGGUAAGCACUUUCUUCCUACACAUUUUUCAUGUUCUCUGUUACAUGUUUCUUGACAUUGCUGAUGACAAUUGUGUGUUAAACCAAUAUGCAGCACGGUUUCGUGUACCGUGAGCACAACAAAUCUCCCGGAUACUAUGACGGACGAUACUGGGUUAUGUGGAAGCUUCCCAUGUUCGGGUGCACCGACUCAUCGCAGGUGUUGAAGGAGCUUGAUGAGUGCGUCAAGGAGUACCCCCAGGCGUACGUCCGUAUCAUCGGAUUCGACAACGUUCGCCAAGUCCAGUGCAUCAGUUUCAUUGCUCACCAGCCAGAAUGCUGAUCAAUCUGUCUGUUGAUUUCAUAUAUUUAUCAAUCUUGUUCGGCUCAUAUAUAAACUUCUUGCAAUCUCAUUUCAUUUCUUUCCGUUUUAAAUUUCUUACUUGUAUCUCCAACACAAGGAAAUUGGAACUAUAGAGGAUUAUAUGUAGCGAUUGUUGGUGAUUAUAUAUAUCUACUUGUUUGUUUUCCCUGCACCUUCUAAAUACUUGCAUCAUAUGCUUUCAUGUCGUGAUGUACUUUUUUAUAUAUCUCCGAUUCUCCAUGCAGUAAUUAACCACUACGG
This 6216-nucleotide long non-coding RNA is filed under the name Daucus carota (carrot). Its description in RNAcentral is "long non-coding RNA (DCAR_LNC001441)". The record is from RNAcentral. Lineage: Eukaryota; Viridiplantae; Streptophyta; Magnoliopsida; Apiales; Apiaceae.